UACCAGCACCCCGAGUGGUCGGGACGAUUAUUGGGCCUAAAGCAUCCGUAGCCGGUUCUACAAGUCUUCCGUUAAAUCCAACUGCUUAACAGGUGGGCUGCGGAAGAUACUAUAGAGCUAGGAGGCGGGAGAGGCAAGCGGUACUCGAUGGGUAGGGGUAAAAUCCGUUGAUCCAUUGAAGACCACCAGUGGCGAAGGCGGCUUGCCAGAACGCGCUCGACGGUGAGGGAUGAAAGCUGGGGGGAGCAAACCGG
This 254-nucleotide ribosomal RNA is filed under the name uncultured bacterium. RNAcentral describes it as "partial 16S ribosomal RNA". It matches the Rfam family "Archaeal small subunit ribosomal RNA", at positions 474 to 727 of the family's 1478-position model. The record is from RNAcentral.